RNAcentral lists this ribosomal RNA (474 nucleotides) under uncultured bacterium. Its description in RNAcentral is "bacterial SSU rRNA". It matches the Rfam family "Bacterial small subunit ribosomal RNA", at positions 34 to 507 of the family's 1533-position model. The record is from RNAcentral.
CGCUGGCGGCGUGCUUAAUACAUGCAAGUCAACUUGACUAUAGAUAGCAAUAUCGAAAAGUAGGGUGGCGCACGGGUGCGUAACGCGUAGGUAAUCUGCCCUGAGGUCUGACAUAACCCGUCGAAAGGCGGGCUAACAUCAGAUGAUAUAUAAUCACGACAUCGUGGAAAUAUCAAAUCUUCGGAGCCUUGGGAUGAGCCUGCGUCUGAUUAGGUAGUUGGCGGAGUAAUAGCCCACCAAGCCUACGAUCAGUAGCUGGUCUGAGAGGAUGAUCAGCCACACUGGAACUGAGACACGGUCCAGACUCCUACGGGAGGCAGCAGUAAGGAAUAUUGCUCAAUGGGGGAAACCCUGAAGCAGCAACGCCGCGUGAAGGAUGAAAUACUUUUGUAUGUAAACUUCUGUAAGAUGGGAAAAAUAUUCUCCUCGGAAGAAUUGAUUGUACCAUCAGAGUAAGCCCCGGCUAACUACGUG